GAUGAACGCUGGCGGCGUGCCUAAUACAUGCAAGUCGAGCGAACGGACGAGAAGCUUGCUUCUCUGAUGUUAGCGGCGGACGGGUGAGUAACACGUGGAUAACCUACCUAUAAGACUUGGAGAACUUCGGGAAACCGGAGCUAAUACCGGAUAAUAUUUUGAACCGCAUGGUUCAAAAGUGAAAGACGGUCUGGCUGUCACUUAUAGAUGGAUCCGCGCUGCAUUAGCUAGUUGGUAAGGUAACGGCUUACCAAGGCAACGAUGCAUAGCCGACCUGAGAGGGUGAUCGGCCACACUGGAACUGAGACACGGUCCAGACUCCUACGGGAGGCAGCAGUAGGGAAUCUUCCGCAAUGGGCGAAAGCCUGACCGAGCAACGCCGCGUGAGUGAUGAAGGUCUUCGGAUCGUAAAACUCUGUUAUUAGGGAAGAACAUAUGUGUAAGUAACUGUGCACAUCUUGACGGUACCUAAUCAGAAAGCCACGGCUAACUACGUG
RNAcentral lists this ribosomal RNA (497 nucleotides) under uncultured bacterium. RNAcentral's name for it is "partial 16S ribosomal RNA". It matches the Rfam family "Bacterial small subunit ribosomal RNA", at positions 28 to 507 of the family's 1533-position model. The record is from RNAcentral.